Molecule: ribosomal RNA, 446 nt
Filed under: uncultured bacterium
Lineage: Bacteria
Description: partial 16S ribosomal RNA
Rfam family: Bacterial small subunit ribosomal RNA
Source: RNAcentral
CCUACGGGUGGCUGCAGUCGAGAAUCAUUCACAAUGGGGGAAACCCUGAUGGUGCGACGCCGCGUGGGGGAAUGAAGGUCUUCGGAUUGUAAACCCCUGUCAUGUGGGAGCAAAUUACAAUGAUAGUACCACAAGAGGAAGAGACGGCUAACUCUGUGCCAGCAGCCGCGGUAAUACAGAGGUCUCAAGCGUUGUUCGGAAUCACUGGGCGUAAAGCGUGCGUAGGCUGUUUCGUAAGUCGUGUGUGAAAGGCGCGGGCUCAACCCGCGGACGGCACAUGAUACUGCGAGACUAGAGUAAGGGAGGGGGAACCGGAAUUCUCGGUGUAGCAGUGAAAUGCGUAGAGAUCGAGAGGAACACUCGUGGCGAAGGCGGGUUCCUGGACAUUAACUGACGCUGAGGCACGAAGGCCAGGGGAGCGAAAGUGAUUAGAUACCCCUGUAGUC